RNAcentral lists this unclassified non-coding RNA (188 nucleotides) under uncultured Endogonomycetes. RNAcentral's name for it is "sequence contains ITS2". The record is from RNAcentral. Lineage: Eukaryota; Fungi; Mucoromycota; Endogonomycetes.
UGAACAUCUCAAUAUCAUUUGGAGUUGGGCUUUAUUGUUGUGACACUAACACAACUGGCCCGAAAUUUUAUUUCAAAGCAAAUGCAAGAACAUGUGGAUGCUUUGUUGCAAAAGACGAAAAGCUAAUUAGUUGACUGUGGUCAAACUUGCUGACUAGUCUUUCAAAACUAAGCUUGCCUACAUUCACA